RNAcentral lists this transfer RNA (72 nucleotides) under Camelus bactrianus (Bactrian camel). It matches the Rfam family "tRNA". Rfam says of the family: Transfer RNA (tRNA) molecules are approximately 80 nucleotides in length. Their secondary structure includes four short double-helical elements and three loops (D, anti-codon, and T loops). RNAcentral also lists the same sequence under 2 other names. Lineage: Eukaryota; Metazoa; Chordata; Mammalia; Artiodactyla; Camelidae. The record is from Rfam by way of RNAcentral.
AAGGGUAUAGCUCAGCGGUAGGAUGUGUGCCUAGCACGUAUGAGGUCCUGGGUUCAAUCCUCAGUACCUUGA